GGCAAUUCCAAACCCCGUCAACUUGACAACCAAGAUUGGCCAACAAAGAUGGAUCCUUGCCCUCACCUUCAUCAGAUUUCUUCAGGCAGCUGUCUGUUGUUCAGGUUCUCCCCUUGAACCUGAGGCUCGCAAAUUAUGCCGGACUGCUGGCCAGCAAUCCCCAG
This is a long non-coding RNA of Grammomys surdaster, 164 nucleotides long. RefSeq lists it as uncharacterized. Lineage: Eukaryota; Metazoa; Chordata; Mammalia; Rodentia; Muridae. The transcript is spliced from 3 exons. The record is from RefSeq and is a predicted model, not a curated record.